CCCUACGGGAGGCAGCAGUAGGGAAUCUUCCACAAUGGGCGAAAGCCUGAUGGAGCAACGCCGCGUGGGUGAAGAAGGUCUUCGGAUCGUAAAACCCUGUUGUUAGAGAAGAAAGUGCGUGAGAGUAACUGUUCACGUUUCGACGGUAUCUAACCAGAAAGCCACGGCUAACUACGUGCCAGCAGCCGCGGUAAUACGUAGGGGGCAAGCGUUAUCCGGAUUUACUGGGUGUAAAGGGAACGCAGGCGGUCUUUUAAGUCUGAUGUGAAAGCCUUCGGCUUAACCGGAGGAGUGCAUUGGAAACU
Molecule: ribosomal RNA, 305 nt
Filed under: uncultured bacterium
Lineage: Bacteria
Description: bacterial SSU rRNA
Rfam family: Bacterial small subunit ribosomal RNA
Source: RNAcentral